RNAcentral lists this long non-coding RNA (210 nucleotides) under Elaeis guineensis (African oil palm). RNAcentral's name for it is "long non-coding RNA (EGUI_LNC060227)". Lineage: Eukaryota; Viridiplantae; Streptophyta; Magnoliopsida; Arecales; Arecaceae. The record is from RNAcentral.
GAGGAGGUGAUCUUGAAGGAGGAGGUAAUGGUGCUUCACUUGCUUCUCUUCUCCUUCUUCUUCUGCGGCUUUCUUCACUUCUGCUUGCUCUUUGGCAUUGGAAAGAUACAUCUUCGAAGCAAUCAGUAGUAAGAAGGUUGAAGGUUAGUAAGGAGGUUGAAGGUUGGCUGAAAAAGAGAUGGAAAGGAGAUUUUGGCUAGAGAUUCUGAG